CCAGUGAGGGAAUUAAGGACGGCACGUUGUCUUUGUAACAGGAUUCAGCAGGGUGGCCACUCAGUAAUCAGCACAAGUUAGAAUGUGGGCAAAUCGGCAAUCGUUGCGCAGGCACUUUCGUGACCCUAGAUAUCCUUGGGUCGAUCGCACGUCCCCAUGACGGCGACAACGCAUUCAGAUGUCUGCCCUAUUAACUUUUGAUGUUACUUUCUGUGCCUACCAUGGUGACCAUGGGUAGCGGGGAAUCAGGGUUCCAUUCCA
Non-coding RNA from Pelobates cultripes (western spadefoot toad), 261 nucleotides. Lineage: Eukaryota; Metazoa; Chordata; Amphibia; Anura; Pelobatidae. The record is from the annotation of a GenBank genome assembly.